This 484-nucleotide ribosomal RNA is filed under the name uncultured bacterium. Its description in RNAcentral is "partial 16S ribosomal RNA". It matches the Rfam family "Bacterial small subunit ribosomal RNA", at positions 28 to 523 of the family's 1533-position model. The record is from RNAcentral.
GACGAACGCUGGCGGCGUGCUUAACACAUGCAAGUCGAACGAUGAAGCCGGAGCUUGCUCUGGUGAAUUAGUGGCGAACGGGUGAGUAACUCGUGAGUAACCUGCCCUUGACUCUGGGAUAACUGCGGGAAACUGUAGCUAAUACCGGAUACGACCUUCGGCGGCAUCUGCUGGGGGUGGAAAGAAUUUCGGUCAAGGAUGGACUCGCGGCCUAUCAGCUAGUUGGUGAGGUAAAGGCUCACGAAGGCGACGACGGGUAGCCGGCCUGAGAGGGUGACCGGCCACACUGGUACUGAGACACGGCCCAGACUCCUACGGGAGGCAGCAGUGGGGAAUAUUGCACAAUGGGCGCAGGCCUGAUGCAGCAACGCCGCGUGAGGGAUGACGGCCUUCGGGUUGUAAACCUCUUUUCUUUGGGAAGAAGCGGAAGUGACGGUACCUGCAGAAAAAGCACCGGCUAACUACGUGCCAGCAGCCGCAGUAA